This 1305-nucleotide long non-coding RNA is filed under the name Melopsittacus undulatus (budgerigar). Its description in RNAcentral is "lncRNA (ENSMUNG00000020831.1)". The record is from RNAcentral. Lineage: Eukaryota; Metazoa; Chordata; Aves; Psittaciformes; Psittaculidae.
AUGGUUCCCUCCUGGGAUGCUCUGCCUUCCGCUGGGUACCAGCCAUCCUGCAAUGGGAUUGAGGGAAUCCUGGGCUCCUGUAGUGUAAGAGAUGAAGUCUUCCUAUCUAUGCCUGAACUGCCCUUUCCUUCCUUACUCUGCAGAUCCUUGAACAGCCUCCUCCAUGCUGCACCCUGGGCAGGAGCAGCAGCAGCCCAGGAAGAAGAUAAAGGAGCAGAAGCAGCUUCUUCCAUCCUCUGGUGCUGCCCACACCUCUUCCACCUCCCGUGGGAUGGGCGAGUCCUUGGCUCCUGGCUUGCUCUGCCAUUUCUAGGGACAAACCAGCUAAGUAAGGUCUAUUUAUAUGACUGUUCCCAGCUCUUCCCACUCCACAAAUUCACCCAGAGACUGUCUUGAUUGUAUAAUACACAUUAUAUGGAAGCUAUUUAUAUAUGAAUGAAUGUUUUUAUAGAAAGGAAGGCAAGGAGCUCGUGUUCUCCCUCCUCCAUUAAACUGGAACGGCGGCUCUGCUUGCCAGAUAGCAAUCUCUGACCAGCACAGAUGUGUUAGCAAAGGCCUGACUGAUUCCUGCUUUCAAUAAACUGUGGUUUGCUGAUGUUCCUGAUUGCACCAUUCCCGUCGUGUCCCAGCAUCCUUGAAACUCGGGAAGAAACACAAGGAUUUAGUUGAGCAGAUGAAGGAGCUUUGUAACACUGAGGCAAUGGAGGUUGUCUAGGCUAGCUGUUUACACUUCUUUCUACCAUAGGAACUUUGCAAUGGGCAAACCUUUCUAGAUCCACUAGUGCUGGAGCUGUUCUUUUGGACUCCCAUAGGGAAUCAAAGGGACAGUUGCUGUAGCCUUUAGGGCCUCCCAGGUGUUCAGUAUUGCUUCUUGUACUGCGUUUUCCAAUAAACUCUCCAACAAAACCAGUCCCUGACCCUGGAGCCUUUUUCCCUUCUCCCCCCCCCCCCCCUCCAGGGCUCUCUUCCCAACCUGGCUUCCUGGCAGUUUGCUUUGUCUGACCUAGGCCAGACCCAUGGCCCCCGAACCGCAUCUGCUGCAGCCUGCAGUGAUACCCAGGGCUCCCCCCAGCCCUGGGAUGUGUUUUCCUGCACUCCCGGUAUUUCAGACCCUCAGUCAGCUCCAGGGGGGCACAUGUGGGACCAAGACCCCCAGAAAGAGCCAAAGAGGACCCCAAGAGUCCAGGUUUCCCCUAAAGCAUCACCACUUAAUGGAAAACCUCCCUUGAAGCUACUGUGUGAGGUUCCUGCCCAGGGGCUGCCUGACCCCGAGCUGGAGCAGGGGAGAUGGUGUCCAGCCCAUCC